CCUACGGGCGGCAGCAGUGGGGAAUAUUGCACAAUGGGCGCAAGCCUGAUGCAGCCAUGCCGCGUGUGUGAAGAAGGCCUUCGGGUUGUAAAGCACUUUCAGCGGGGAGGAAGGCGUUAAGGUUAAUAACCUUGUCGAUUGACGUUACCCGCAGAAGAAGCACCGGCUAACUCCGUGCCAGCAGCCGCGGUAAUACGGAGGGUGCAAGCGUUAAUCGGAAUUACUGGGCGUAAAGCGCACGCAGGCGGUCUGUCAAGUCGGAUGUGAAAUCCCCGGGCUCAACCGGGGAACUGCAUUCGAAACUGGCAGGCUAGAGUCUUGUAGAGGGGGGUAGAAUUCCAGGUGUAGCGGUGAAAUGCGUAGAGAUCUGGAGGAAUACCGGUGGCGAAGGCGGCCCCCUGGACAAAGACUGACGCUCAGGUGCGAAAGCGUGGGGAGCAAACAGGAUUAGAUACCCCAGUAGUC
Molecule: ribosomal RNA, 465 nt
Filed under: uncultured Klebsiella sp.
Lineage: Bacteria; Pseudomonadati; Pseudomonadota; Gammaproteobacteria; Enterobacterales; Enterobacteriaceae
Description: bacterial SSU rRNA
Rfam family: Bacterial small subunit ribosomal RNA
Source: RNAcentral